Molecule: ribosomal RNA, 274 nt
Filed under: uncultured bacterium
Lineage: Bacteria
Description: partial 16S ribosomal RNA
Rfam family: Bacterial small subunit ribosomal RNA
Source: RNAcentral
AUACAGAGGGUGCAAGCGUUAAUCGGAUUUACUGGGCGUAAAGCGCACGUAGGCGGAUUGGUCAGUUGGGGGUGAAAUCCCGAGGCUUAACCUCGGAACUGCCUCCAAAACUGCCAGUCUUGAGUUCGAGAGAGGGAGGUGGAAUUUCUAGUGUAGCGGUGAAAUGCGUAGAUAUUAGAAGGAACAUCAGUGGCGAAGGCGGCCUCCUGGAUUAACACUGACGCUGAGGUGCGAAAGCGUGGGGAGCAAACAGGAUUAGAUACCCCGGUAGUCC